GUUCCAACAACUCAAACGGAAAACAGCAAUAGCCAUAGUUAGGCCCAUUAUAAAGGCGCGACUUUGAAGCUGUAGACAGCGGGGAAUGAAAUUGUAGACUGAGAAGUACAGACAGAGACAGAGAGAUAGAGAGAGAGAGAGAGAGAAGGAGAAAAGUUUUUCUUACGUGACCACAAUAGAAGCAGCAAACAGAAUCGGCAACAGCAUCAGCGCCGACAGCAGUGAAGAUUUACACGUCUGACCUUGGGGUAGCGAAAAUCUUGCUGCAAUCUUCAAUAAUAAAAUUAAAUAUAAUUGCCCAAAGGGGGAUUGGGGUGGGGCCUAGCGAUAGAAUAGCUCUGGCACUAACAAAAGCAAACUGCCAAUCAAAUUGUCAGUCAAGUGGAAACAGAUCCCGCUGCAAACUGCAACUGCAUCAACACGAGCGCGCCGGGGCGAAGAAAUUUUCGCAACAAAAACAACAAACCCCAACUUCUCUCUCUCCCUCUCUCUCUCUUUCAGAAAACUCAACACCCAACUGCAGCAGAUGCAGCAAAUCCAUUUAAAGUGUAACUCGACUAAGUGCACUCAACAUGAAAGGAAAUGUUUGGCACACAUAACCAUGGAGAUUGCUACAACAUCAAAAAGGGUAAAGGUGCAUCUAAAAAUUGUCUUAAAUAUUUUAAAACACAGAAAAAGGAUACAGGGGUUCAACAUUUGAAGCCGAUCUCUUAACAAUACCUGGAGGAAGUCGUUUGGUGCCCCGAGCAACCACUGUACCUCUACUAAACAAGAUGAGUGCAAAACUUGGCAAAAACAAAUAGUGCAAAGACCUUGAAAUGCUGCUGCUGCUGCUGCUGCUGCUGCUGCUGCUGCUGGGACUGGAAAUAAAACAACAAAAUGCAAAAUCACCCUGGAACAACCAGCAAGCAGUGAGAAAGAGAGGCAGUGAAAUAUAGAAACAGAGAGAGGGGGGUGGAAUGAGCGGAGUUGGCAGCACGCAAACUUAGAACCGAAACGAGCGAAACAAAUCGACAAGCGGAUGGAACAGCCACAAAACAGCAACAAUAGCAGCGAAAAUGGCUGUACAUAAGCAUCAGCAUCAUCAAAUGCAAAAGCAAAAGCAACAAUAUCAAAAAAUAUGGCACUGUUAAAAAUAAACAAAAUAAACACACAAAAUACUUGC
RNAcentral lists this long non-coding RNA (1165 nucleotides) under Drosophila guanche. Lineage: Eukaryota; Metazoa; Arthropoda; Insecta; Diptera; Drosophilidae. The record is from RNAcentral.